Molecule: long non-coding RNA, 598 nt
Organism: Balaenoptera ricei (Rice's whale)
Lineage: Eukaryota; Metazoa; Chordata; Mammalia; Artiodactyla; Balaenopteridae
Exons: 5
Source: RefSeq, a predicted model, not a curated record
GGACAGUGUAUUUUGUUUCCUUUGGAAGACACAGUAGAGACUAACUCAUGGAGGUCCCAGACUUAAAAGAACACAGUUGCCGACUAUUACAUUAUACAAUAAGUAGAAAAGAAGAAAGAUGAGAUAAAGAUUCUAGGAAUUAGAAAAUCCAAUUAUUGUUUGGAUUCUAAACACUAUCUCUGUGCCCUUGGGAAAACCUCUUUGCCUGGUUCCUACUAGGCAGCUCUGUGGCAGAGGCCAUUUCCCCAGAAUCAGUGAGGAGGGCCCUCAACAUUUCUUACCUCCUGUAAGUCCAGACCCUAAGAAAGUAAAUCCAGAAGUGCCAUCUUGCCUCUUCCAUGCUGCAAGUUUUCCUGUGUGAGAAUUCUCUUCUUCUUUGAAUGAUCGAUGAAAUGAUGGAAUAACUGAGGGAAUGUAAAUGAAGUACACAGUUGAAUUCCAGAGAAAAUACACGCGCAGCAUGUGGGACCUUCGCUUCCCAACCAGGGAUCAAACCUGCGUCCCCUGCAUUGCAAGUGCGGAGUCUUAACCACUCCAGGGACAGCCAGGGAAGUCCCACCUUGGGGAUGCUUCUGAUCUUUGCCUCUUAUACACUUUA